UACGGAGGGUGCAAGCGUUAUUCGGAAUUACUGGGCGUAAAGCGCGCGUAGGUGGUUCGUUAAGUUGGAUGUGAAAUCCCCGGGCUCGACCUGGGAACUGCAUUCAAAACUGUCGAGCUAGAGUAUGGUAGAGGGUGGUGGAAUUUCCUGUGUAGCGGUGAAAUGCGUAGAUAUAGGAAGGAACACCAGUGGCGAAGGCGACCACCUGGACUGAUACUGACACUGAGGUGCGAAAGCGUGGGGAGCAAACAGG
Molecule: ribosomal RNA, 253 nt
Filed under: uncultured bacterium
Lineage: Bacteria
Description: partial 16S ribosomal RNA
Rfam family: Bacterial small subunit ribosomal RNA
Source: RNAcentral